GCUUACGACAUGCAUGUCUAAGUAUAAGCACUUUAUACCGUGAAACUGCGAAUGGCUCAUUAAAUCAGUUAUCGUUUAUUUGAUAGUACCUUUACCUGGAUAACCGUGGUAAUUCUAGAGCUAAUACAUGCUAAAAACCCCGACUUCGGAAGGGGUGUAUUUAUUAGAUAAAAAACCAAUGCCCUUCGGGGCUCCUUGGUGAUUCAUAAUAACUUAACGAAUCGCAUGGCCUUGCGCCGGCGAUGGUUCAUUCAAAUUUCUGCCCUAUCAACUUUCGAUUGUAAGAUAGAGGCUUACAAUGGUCUUAACGGGUAACGGGGAAUUAGGGUUCUAUUCCGGAGAGGGAGCCUGAGAAACGGCUACCACAUCCAAGGAAGGCAGCAGGCGCGCAAAUUACCCAAUUCCGACACGGAGAGGUAGUGACAAUAAAUACUGAUACGGGGCUCUUUCGGGUCUCGUAAUUGGAAUGAGUACAAUCUAAAUCCCUUAACGAGGAACAAUUGGAGGGCAAGUCUGGUGCCAGCAGCCGCGGUAAUUCCAGCUCCAAUAGCGUAUAUUAAAGUUGUUGCCGUUAAAAAGCUCGUAGUUGAACCUUGGACCUGGCUGAUCUGUCCUCCUAAUCGAGCGCACGGAUUCGGUCGGGUCUUUCCUUCUGGGGAACCCCAUGCCCUUCACUGGGUGUGGCGGGGAACCAGGACUUUUACCUUGAAAAAAUUAGAGUGUUCAAAGCAGGCCUUUGCUCGAAUACAUUAGCAUGGAAUAAUAGAAUAGGACAUCGGUUCUAUUUHGUUGGUUUCUAGGACCGCUGUAAUGAUUAAUAGGGAUAGUCGGGGGCGUCAGUAUUCAAUUGUCAGAGGUGAAAUUCUUGGAUUUAUUGAAGACUAACUACUGCGAAAGCAUUCGCCAAGGAUGUUUUCAUUAAUCAGUGAACGAAAGUUAGGGGAUCGAAGACGAUCAGAUAGUCGUAGUCUUAACCAUAAACUAUGCCGACUAGGGAUCGGACGGUGGUUUUUUAUUGCCCCGUUCGGCACCUUACGAGAAAUCAAAGUGUUUGGGCUCGGGGGGGAGUAUGGUCGCAAGGCUGAAACUUAAAGAAAUUGACGGAAGGGCACCACCAGGCGUGGAGCCUGCGGKUUAAUUUGRCUCAACAVGGGGAAACUCACCAGGUCCAGACUUACUUAGGAUUGACAGAUUGAUAGCUCUUUCUUGAUUGUAAGGGUGGUGGUGCAUGGCCGUUCUUAGUUGGUGGAGUGAUUUGUCUGCUUAAUUGCGAUAACGAACGAGACCUUGACCUGCUAAAUAGCCAGGUUGACUUUKGUCGGCCGCCGGCUUCUUAGAGGGACUUUKGGCUCAAGCCAAUGGAAGUACGAGGCAAUAACAGGUCUGUGAUGCCCUUAGAUGUUCUGGGCCGCACGCGCGCUACACUGACAGAGCCAGCGAGUACAUCACCUUGGCCGAAAGGUCUGGGUAAUCUUGUUAAACUCUGUCGUGCUGGGGAUAGAGCAUUKCAAUUAUUGCUCUUCAACGAGGAAUGCCUAGUAAGCGCAAGUCAUCAGCUUGCGUUGAUUACGUCCCUGCCCUUUGUACACACCGCCCGUCGCUACUACCGAUUGAAUGGCUCAGUGAGGCCUUGGGACUGGCUCAGAGAGGUCGGCAACGACCACUCAGAGCCGGAAACUUGGUCAAACUUGGUCAUUUAGAGGAAGUAAAAGUCGUAACAAGGUUUCCGUAGGUGAACCUGCGGAAGGAUCAUUA
RNAcentral lists this ribosomal RNA (1755 nucleotides) under Exophiala prototropha. RNAcentral describes it as "SSU rRNA". It matches the Rfam family "Eukaryotic small subunit ribosomal RNA". Lineage: Eukaryota; Fungi; Ascomycota; Eurotiomycetes; Chaetothyriales; Herpotrichiellaceae. The record is from RNAcentral.